Long non-coding RNA from Podarcis raffonei (Aeolian wall lizard), 1876 nucleotides. RefSeq lists it as uncharacterized. NCBI's taxonomy places the organism in Eukaryota, Metazoa, Chordata, Lepidosauria, Squamata, Lacertidae. The record is from RefSeq and is a predicted model, not a curated record. The transcript has 2 exons.
UUUAGACCUUAAAUGAUUUUUUAAAAAAAUGUACAGUGGUCACAACACAUGCAUGCACAAUUCAACAACUUGUUUUAAAAUUAUACAGACGGAAAACACACACAGAGUGUGCCAGUGUGCUGCCUUCCACUUUGAGUCAGGUCACUGGUCCAUAUAGCUCAGGGUUGCCUACACUGAUUGGCAGUAGCUCUUCUGGAUUCCAGGCAGGGAGCUUUUGUUGGGAAUUCCAUUCCACCCUUUGCUGUAGAUAUGUGGGAUUUCUCAGCAGCAAGGCUGAGAAGGGAGACUCUCCGGUUGGGGCCAAGCCAGCUGGCUUUCCUUCCCACGGUUCUGACAGUUUUCUCUUCCACACCUGGAGAUGCAGGAGAUUGAAUGUGGGACCUUCUCCUUGCAAGGCAAAUGUUCUACCACUGAGUCGCUUCCCCUCCCAGCUUCCCACAAUAUCUUAAGCUUGACAAGCCUCAUGAUUCAUCUGUUGGUUUUGAACUGCAAUGCUUUGGGCAUUAAGACCUUUUUGGGUCUUACUUGCUGUACUUUUCUCAUAUGAAGCCAGAGACCAAGGAUCUACUCCCUGUUUUUAUUGGAAUACAAGGAGAUACAGUGGAACCUCGGUUGUCGAACGUAAUCCGUUCCUGAAGACCGGUCAACUUACGAAACAUUUGACAACCAGGGCACAAUGGGCGGUUGGCAAUUUCAAUGGAGAAAAUUGAGAAAUGCGCCUCAGAAGCCUUUCAACUUCUAUGGUGCAUUCGAAAAUGGAAGCAAUUACUUCUGGGUUUUCGGCAUUCAAAAACCAAAACGUUUGGCUUCCGAGAUGCUGGAAAACCGAGGUUCCACUGUACAAGACUACAAUCACAAUCUUCUUCCACAGCUGCAAAGAAGUUUGGUCUUGUUUUAUGACCCAUAUUUUAGGCCUUCUAGCACCCACAUAGUUCCAUUUAAUUUCUUGUUAUCUUACAAUACAUUUCUUAAUAACCUCAUUUAUUAUUGUUUUUGUUGUUACUAUUUGAACCUAUUAUUAGGGGUUUUUUUACAAAACAUAACUCAGAGUCACUUGUAAUCAUACAUUAAAACAAAUAUGAAAUUAAAACAGUAAAAACAAAAGGCAAAAAUGCAUUCAUAUUUUUUUAAAUGUAAACGGCAAGACCAAGGCAUCCCACCCACUGAAGGGGCCACAGACAAUUAAAAACAAAGGUCUGGUAGAAAAUAAACAUAUUUUUUUUAGUUCAUUGCAGCUGACACCCAAGUGCAAGCAGAACUGCAACCUUCAUGAUUUAGCAAUAGAAUAAGAUGUAAUACAAACCCUAUGGGUGGUAUUCGGUGUUAGUACUACUCUCGAGUUGACCCACUGAAAUUACUGAGCAUAAAUUAAUCCUGCAUAUUAACUUCAAAGACUCUGCUCUGAGUAGAAUUAGCACUGAAUGCCAUCCACAGAAACUUGAAAAAGGAAUAUAAUCUGAAAAGUGAAAUGUUGCAUUGCAACUAAAUUUUUUAAAAAACACCCUACUCCUCUCCUUUUUCGUAGCUCAAUGAAUAACAAAUCCUACCAUGUUUCAUUUAGCAGAAUGCCCAGUAAAGGAUUCAGGCAGAAAACUAGGGCAGCGGCGCAUGCAUACAAGGGAGUAAGUCUCAUUGAUGUCAGUGGGCCUUACUUCUGAACAAACAUGUUAAUAAAGGAAACUCAAUUAAAAAUAGUUUAAGAGAUUUUACAAUAUCACUCACGUAACAGCUUCUCUCCUAGAGGAACCUCUUCAGAUAGAAUAAGACAGCAAAAUGGACCUCUUCAAGAGAUAGUUCUUCUGGUUCAGGAAGCAGGCAAAUUAAUAAAUGAAAGUAAGCAACUUUGAAUAAAACCUGACUUUCAGUUUAACAAAAA